RNAcentral lists this ribosomal RNA (1641 nucleotides) under metagenome. RNAcentral describes it as "bacterial SSU rRNA". It matches the Rfam family "Bacterial small subunit ribosomal RNA". The record is from RNAcentral.
AGAGUUUGAUCCUGGCUCAGGAUGAACGCUGGCGGUGUGCCUUAAGCAUGCAAGUCGAGCGAUAAUCCCACUUCGGUGGGAGGACAGCGGCAGACGGGUGAGUAACGCGUAGGAAUCUACCUUUUAGUGGGGAAUAGCCUCGGGAAACCGGGAAUAAUACCGCAUGUGGUCGCAAGACCAAAGACUUCGGUCGCUAAAAGAGGAGCCUGCGUCCUAUCAGGUAGUUGGUGAGGUAAAAGCUCACCAAGCCUACAACGGGUAGCCGGUGUGAGAGCACGACCGGUCACAAGGUCACUGAGACACGGGACCUACACCUACGGGUGGCAGCAACUGGGAAUAUUGCGCAAUGGGCGAAAGCCUGACGCAGCGACACCGCGUGUGGGAUGAAUGCCUUCGGGUUGUAAACCACUGUGGCAAGGGAAGAAGAGGGCACACUCUAGAAUAAAAAUGCAAAAAUAAGAGAAAAUUUUUGUUUUAAAUUCAAGGUACUUGAAAGCGAUAGUAUUAAAUUAAUACUUGAGCUAGAGAAUGACACAGAAUUUGACCAAAAAAAUCUUUUAGAAUGUAGUCUUUUAUUUUAAAGUGUGCCCUAUGACUGUACCUUGCUAGAAAGCACCUGCUAACUACGUGCCAGAAGCAUCGGUAAUACGUAGGGUGCAAGCGUUAUCCGGAUUUAUUGGGCGUAAAGGGUUCCGUCGGCGGUUUGCCAAGUUUCAUCUUUAAUACUGGGGCUUAACUUCAGAUACAGGGUGGAAUACUGGUAGACUUGAGUCUGUUUGGGGAAACUGGAACUCUCGGUGUAGGGGUGAAAUCCGUAGAUAUCGAGAGGAACGCCGAUCGCGAAAGCAGGUUUCUAAGACAGUACUGACGCUCAUGGACGAAAGCUUGGGUAGCAAAAGGGAUUAGAGACCCCUGUAGUCCAAGCCGUAAACGAUGCUCGCUAGCUGGUCGCUCUUCGGAGUAACUGGCGUAAGCUAACGCGUUAAGCGAGCCGCCUGGGAAGUACGAUCGCAAGAUUAAAACUCAAAGGAAUUGGCGGGGGAGCGUACAACCGGUGGAGCAUGUGGUUUAAUUCGAUACAAAGCGAAAAACCUUACCUAGAUUUGAUAUGUACCUGCAAACCCUGGGAUAACCAGGGCAUCCUUCGAGGGUGGUACACAGGUGAUGCAUGGCUGUCGUCAGCUCGUGUCGUGAGACGUCCGCUUAAGUGCGGUAACGAGCGCAACCCUUAUCGUCAGUUACACGUAUCUGACGAGACUGCCCUUGCCAAGCAAGGGAGGAAGGAGAGGACGACGUCAAGUCAGCACGUCCCUUACAUCUAGGGCAACACACAUCCUACAAUGGGGUCUACAACGGGUAGCAACGAGGUAACUCUGAGCCAAUCCUUAUAAAAGACCCCUCAGUUCAGAUUGAGGGCUGAAACUCGCCCUCAUGAAGUUGGAAUCGGUAGUAAUCGCAUAUCAUCAGGGUGCGGUGAAUACGUUCUCGCUCCUUGCACACACUGCCCGUCAAGCCAGCAAAGUCAGCAGCGCCCGAAGCGGGUGACUGUAACCCUUCUUCGGAUGGGAACAGCCCUUCUACGGUGAGGUUGGCGAUGAGGACUAAGUCGUAACAAGGUAUCCGUACUGGAAGGUGCGGAUG